Molecule: non-coding RNA, 755 nt
Organism: Carassius auratus (goldfish)
Lineage: Eukaryota; Metazoa; Chordata; Actinopteri; Cypriniformes; Cyprinidae
Source: the annotation of a RefSeq genome assembly
ACUCUCUUUAUUUGAGUUUUAAGAUGAAGACACGCAGCUUGUUCUCAUUCGACUCAAACCAUGAUCUCUUCAUCUCUCUGGUUGUUGCUGCUGCUGGCAGCUGUUUCUCGUGUCCACUGUGUUGAACUGAUCCAGACUGAUUCUAUGGUCUUAAGUCCUGGUCAGGUUUUGACACUGUCAUGUAAACUCUCUGGAUAUACAGUGUCUGACAGCAGCUACUGGACUCACUGGAUACGGCAGCCUGCAGGAAAAGCUCUGGAAUGGGUUGGAGAGAUAGGUAGUGAUGGUAGCACAUAUUACAGUGAUAAACUGAAAAAUAGAUUUCAAAUUGCAAGAGACAUUUCCAGCAACACAGUGACUCUGCGAGGACAGAAUAUGCAGACUGAGGACACAUCUGUGUAUUACUGCGCCAGAGAGAGAACACACAGUGAUACAAAAAACCAGCAGUUCUGGUCAAAAACAUCUUGAAUGAAAAGAACAAUAAAAAGUCCCCAUACAUACGGUAGGAAUAUGAAAAAACGACUCUUACUUAUAUGAGUGUUUUAAAGCCCAACAAAUGGCCGAGAAAUGACCAAUGUUGGUGUAACUUAACAGUACAAUAAUUUUUUACUUGAAUACAAAAUGAUUCAUUUUUAGAUAACUUCUACUAUCACAGUUAUAAAGUGAAGGUUAAUGUCAAAGUUAUUAAUCUUUGACAAGAAUACUGAUGAUAUUACAAUAGAAGAGCACUCUGCCAGAUUAAAAUUUUAGCAGAU